RNAcentral lists this unclassified non-coding RNA (233 nucleotides) under Hevea brasiliensis (rubber tree). The record is from RNAcentral. Lineage: Eukaryota; Viridiplantae; Streptophyta; Magnoliopsida; Malpighiales; Euphorbiaceae.
GAAGCCCAAAUGUGAUAAAAUGCAACUAACAUAAACUCCAAAGAGAUAAGUUCAUGCCCGUUCACACAAUUCAUAAGGGUGAUAGCAUCAAUCAAACAAUAAAAAAAGCCGAAUCUCAAAACCCUAAACAGAACUGAGCAAAACAUAAAUUUCUACUAAAAAUCCAAGAAGUAUGAAAUAUCAAGAACCAAAACUGAAAAAUGAAGGGAUAUUACUAAAAAAAUACAAAAAAA